Non-coding RNA from Vidua chalybeata, 380 nucleotides. The record is from the annotation of a RefSeq genome assembly. Lineage: Eukaryota; Metazoa; Chordata; Aves; Passeriformes; Viduidae.
GGGGAUUUUCUCUAUGGAUUUCCAGUGGUUCCUUGUGGCCAUGCUGCUCCCUGUGGGCUGGGCCCUUCAGCAAUCCCCAGAUACAGUCGUCCGAGUGGGAGACACCGUGACUCUGGAAUGUUCUGGAUUGGGGAAUGUUGUCAAGACCAUGUACUGGUAUAAGUUACCUGUGGAGAAGGAUGCCAGUAUGCAGUUGGUUGUAUAUUCAGUGGAAGGUGGCAAAGCAGAUAUUGAGAAGGAAUUCAAAAAUCGCUUCCAGAGUAAUGGGACUAGGAACAACCAUUUAUCUGUGAAGAUAGAGCAUGCCCUGCUCAAUGACACAGGCACAUAUUUCUGUGCUGAACAAGAUCCACAGAGACUCAAAGGCAGGUGCAGCAUAG